RNAcentral lists this ribosomal RNA (234 nucleotides) under uncultured bacterium. Its description in RNAcentral is "partial 16S ribosomal RNA". It matches the Rfam family "Bacterial small subunit ribosomal RNA", at positions 524 to 757 of the family's 1533-position model. The record is from RNAcentral.
CACGUAGGGUGCGAGCGUUAAUCGGAAUUACUGGGCGUAAAGCGUGCGCAGGCGGUUUUGUAAGCCAGAUGUGAAAUCCCCGGGCUUAACCUGGGAAUGGCAUUUGGGACUGCAAGGCUUGAGUGCGGCAGAGGAGACUGGAAUUCCUGGUGUAGCAGUGAAAUGCGUAGAUAUCAGGAGGAACACCGAUGGCGAAGGCAGGUCUCUGGGCUGACACUGACGCUCAUGCACGAA